UGACAUCUCAGAUUCUCUUUGGGAACGCC
RNAcentral lists this non-coding RNA (29 nucleotides) under Mus musculus (house mouse). The record is from RNAcentral. Lineage: Eukaryota; Metazoa; Chordata; Mammalia; Rodentia; Muridae.